CUGGCUCAGGAUGAACGCUGGCGGCGUGCCUAAUACAUGCAAGUCGUACGAGGAAGUCCAGCUUGCUGGACGGAACGAGUGGCGAACGGGUGGAGUAAUACGUAAGCAACCUGCCUGCAAGGACUGGGAUAACACCUGGAAACGGGCGCUAAUACCGGAUAGGUAACAAAGGGGCAUCCCUAUGUUAUUAAAGGUUAGAAACACAAGCAGAUGGGCUUACGGUGCAUUAGCUAGUUGGUGAGGUAACGGCCCACCAAGGCGAUGAUGCAUAGCCGGCCUGGGAGGGUGAACGGCCACAUUGGGACUGAGACACGGCCCAGACUCCUACGGGAGGCAGCAGUAGGGAAUUUUCGGCAAUGGACGAAAGUCUGACCGAGCAACGCCGCCGUGAGUGAAGAAGGUUUUCGGAUUGUAAAGCUCUGUUGUAAGGGAAGAACAGCACGGAAAGAAUCCGUGAAUGACGGUACCUUACCAGAAAGCCACGGCUAACUACGUGCCAGCCGCCGC
RNAcentral lists this ribosomal RNA (507 nucleotides) under uncultured bacterium. Its description in RNAcentral is "bacterial SSU rRNA". It matches the Rfam family "Bacterial small subunit ribosomal RNA", at positions 19 to 518 of the family's 1533-position model. The record is from RNAcentral.